UGGCGUAAUAGGCAGCGCGUUCGGCUGUUAACCGAAAGGUUGGUGGUUCGAGCCCACC
Molecule: transfer RNA, 58 nt
Filed under: Caenorhabditis brenneri
Lineage: Eukaryota; Metazoa; Nematoda; Chromadorea; Rhabditida; Rhabditidae
Rfam family: tRNA
About the family: Transfer RNA (tRNA) molecules are approximately 80 nucleotides in length. Their secondary structure includes four short double-helical elements and three loops (D, anti-codon, and T loops). Further hydrogen bonds mediate the characteristic L-shaped molecular structure. tRNAs have two regions of fundamental functional importance: the anti-codon, which is responsible for specific mRNA codon recognition, and the 3' end, to which the tRNAs corresponding amino acid is attached (by aminoacyl-tRNA synthetases). tRNAs cope with the degeneracy of the genetic code in two manners: having more than one tRNA (with a specific anti-codon) for a particular amino acid; and 'wobble' base-pairing, i.e. permitting non-standard base-pairing at the 3rd anti-codon position.
Source: Rfam by way of RNAcentral